CUGGAGGGAAAUCCUGUGUUCAGCACUCCUAUCAGCACAUACUGAGAAAAAGAAAACAGCAUUUUCCUGCUACGUUACACUGCUAAGCCAAACGAGUUAAUUAACGCGAGGCGUACCUACAUCCUGAUGCUCUCUUAACAAUGCUAUUUGAGAGAAAACAAUGAAGGAAAAGAUUAAGUGUCUGGAAGGAUCUAGAAUUCUAGGCGCUCUCUAGAAGAAGGCACCAUACCGCAGCUCUGUGCAGCUCACGUGACUCCUGAAUGCUGUUGUCCCGACAGCCACGAGGGCCGGCUUGGUCGCCACCAGGACUGCCUCAUCCUCAAAUGCAGGCCCUAAAACUACUCCAAAAGGAAGUGGACAGAUUCGCCAAAGAGUGGGUAAGAAGGCCACCAAGCCACGGGGGCACCUGUCCACUGCACACUCCAACCUGCUACCGACUCUGCUCUUAUACUGAGCCCGGCACACUUGCUGCCUAGCAAGUCAACGAGACAGCGAGACAGUGGAACAGAAAGCUAGCUGCUAGGAACAGAAAGGAAUGCCUUCAGAGGCCAGGACCCCCUCUUUCAAACCUGCACGUGUUUAGUUAGCGCUUCCCAGCACCUCAACUCCGCGAGCUGCCUGCCAGGGACCCUACACGUCCUCUAAAGCUCACCAAGGUGGCGAUCUGGAGUGGAGGAGGAUUUCAGGACAGGCUUAGCAAUUAGCUAAAUAAUCCAGAGCGGCACUAGGUAGGUCAGACCUGUCAAAGAAUGGGGCCAGCCAAGGUCACCGAGCUACGAGGGUGCGGUGCCCGGUGAGGGGAUGGAUUUUUAAAUGCACCGACCGGACCCGGUUCCCGGUUGGCAGCCAGCGUGGAGACCUCCCGCCCCCGCCGAGCGCCCGGGCCCGCCGUCACUCACGUUUUCUGCACCGGCUUGCGCCGCUUGCGGCUGGCAUA
Non-coding RNA from Myodes glareolus (Bank vole), 937 nucleotides. Lineage: Eukaryota; Metazoa; Chordata; Mammalia; Rodentia; Cricetidae. The record is from RefSeq and is a predicted model, not a curated record.